UACGGGGGGGGCAAGCGUUGUUCGGAAUUACUGGGCGUAAAGGGCUCGUAGGUGGCCAACUAAGUCAGACGUGAAAUCCCUCGGCUUAACCGGGGAACUGCGUCUGAUACUGGAUGGCUUGAGUUCGGGAGAGGGAUGCGGAAUUCCAGGUGUAGCGGUGAAAUGCGUAGAUAUCAGGAGGAACACCGAUGGCGAAGGCAGCUCGCUGGGACGGUACUGACGCUGAGGCGCGAAAGCGUGGGGAGCAAACAGG
This 253-nucleotide ribosomal RNA is filed under the name uncultured bacterium. Its description in RNAcentral is "partial 16S ribosomal RNA". It matches the Rfam family "Bacterial small subunit ribosomal RNA", at positions 524 to 776 of the family's 1533-position model. The record is from RNAcentral.